Molecule: long non-coding RNA, 1531 nt
Filed under: Homo sapiens (human)
Lineage: Eukaryota; Metazoa; Chordata; Mammalia; Primates; Hominidae
Description: HSALNT0408106
Source: RNAcentral
UCUGAAAAACAUAUUGGAUGAAGAAAUGAAGUCCAAAUUAAAAUGAGGAAGUCCAGUCAGAUGACGAACUUGAACACAAAGAGCAAGCCAUUGAGCACUAGUUGGCCACAGAUGUGGAUUUAAGUUUUCUAGCUGCCAAAAUGUAAAGAGGGAAACACGAUCCUCUGCAGGACUCAACAGUAUCCCUGAGAUCGAAUCUGACAAACUGCUCAGAAGGGGCACCUAUGCUUUUCCCUGAGAUGAAUGUCUCCCAUCGUCAGAUGUCAGAUUCUGGAUCUAUUUUGACAAGAGAGCUCAAAGGAUUUCUUCACAGAUGGAAAUGAGGGGGCUGUGAACCCCUGAUAUCUGAGAGGUGUCUCAGUCAAUUUAGAAAGUUUAUUUUGCCAACGUUAAGGACCCGCCCAUGACAGCCUCAGGAGGUCCUGACGACACGUGCCCAAGGUGGUCAGGGCACAGCCUGCUUCCAUACAUUUUAGUGAGACAUGAAACAUCAAUCAUUUUAUGUGCUAGACCUCCAGAGAGAGAAAAUGAGACACAUAAGGUGGAAAUUACUCUGUGGUGACACACUGUGGAGUCCUGCCCACAACCCGGAUACUUGGACCCACUCCACUGAAACCUUAGGCCACAGCUAAGUUCCUUCCUUCAAAAAAUAAAUCUAAGAAAGAGGAAAAACAGGAAUGACCUCCUUUCAGGCACUCUGUUGGUUUUAUGGCGCCUCUUCUUGCGAAUGUUUGUGUAAAAUUGACAUACUGUGGUCCUUUUCUGCACAAUUACGGCAAGGAAAAUUCAGAUCGCAAAGGUCCACCUUUCAUCUGCAUCUCAUUACCGGGUAGCAGGAAUAAGUAGGCUGACCCUCAGUUUGGACCGGGAACAGCUGUAUUGGCACAGAGAUUUCAGAAAAGAAAAAGCGGGAGUUAGUAGGCCACCCUAAAAGCUGUGCCUCUACAGCGGAAAGAAACUUUGUUUUGACUCUGAGGAACGGCGCUUUUUUUCUAAACGCGAAGGGCGGGCGGACGUUACUGGGAGGAAUGAGGGCGAGGAAGAGAAAGACGUUAGUCCUCGGACCGUUUCCGAGAGUCAUCUCCGGGAGUAAUGCGAAGAUGGACACGCUCAGUCCUGCCUGUGCAUGCGCGUUCGCGUUGUACGGAAUUCCCAAGCCAGCUGCGUAGUUUCUGCCUUGAAGCUAUUUGGCGAGAAGUUUCGCCUGUUCCUUUACUUUGUGGGUCAGGGCUUGGGUGCUUGAGUGGGAGAAACAGAAAGCCAGCUAGCCCUGGAACCCCUUCUAAGAUCGUCAUCCACCCAGCCAUCCAUAAAUCUGUUCAUCCAUGAAACAAAUAAUCAUUGAGCACCCCUUAUAUGCCAGACACACGUAAGGAUGCAAGGGCCGCGUUCUCAUUCUAGUGGGUGGGGACAGAGAGUAAACAAAUUAUCUACUUAAUUUCAGAUAGUGGUAAGUGAUAGAAAAUAAAACGGGGUGAUAUUGUCAGAGGCGUUUGAACCAGAGCGACUCCAUUCCGAGUGAGGGCUAGGA